GCGAAGAACCGGCGUCCCGCUCCGGCGGCGCCCUUCGUCUUCCACCCUGUGCAUCGUGACCCUUUUUUCGCGCUUGAAAAAGUCGAGGAUGUCUACUAUGAUAACAAUGGCA
This 112-nucleotide unclassified non-coding RNA is filed under the name uncultured fungus. RNAcentral's name for it is "sequence contains ITS1". The record is from RNAcentral. Lineage: Eukaryota; Fungi.